AAGGAUCAUUAUUGAAUAAAUCUGAUGUGGUUGUAGCUGACUCUCCGGAGUAUGUGCACACCCGUCACCUUUAUCUUUCCACCUGUGCACACACUGUAGUCCUGGAUACCUCUCGCCGCAAGGCGGAUGCGGAGUUUGCGUCAGCUUACUCUGAAUUUCCAGGUCUAUGAUUUUACAAACCCCAAUUGAAUGUUACAGAAUGUUAUCAUCAGGCCUUGUGCCUAUAAAUUUAUACAACUUUCAGCAACGGAUCUCUUGGCUCUC
RNAcentral lists this unclassified non-coding RNA (264 nucleotides) under uncultured fungus. RNAcentral's name for it is "partial contains 18S rRNA, ITS1, 5.8S rRNA, ITS2 and 28S rRNA". Lineage: Eukaryota; Fungi. The record is from RNAcentral.